GCCUGGGUGGCUCAGUCGGUUAAGCGUCUAACUUUAGCUCAGGUCAUGAUCUCAUGGUGUGGGUUCCAGCCCCGCCUCAGGCU
RNAcentral lists this transfer RNA (83 nucleotides) under Felis catus (domestic cat). It matches the Rfam family "tRNA". From Rfam's summary of the family: Transfer RNA (tRNA) molecules are approximately 80 nucleotides in length. Their secondary structure includes four short double-helical elements and three loops (D, anti-codon, and T loops). Further hydrogen bonds mediate the characteristic L-shaped molecular structure. tRNAs have two regions of fundamental functional importance: the anti-codon, which is responsible for specific mRNA codon recognition, and the 3' end, to which the tRNAs corresponding amino acid is attached (by aminoacyl-tRNA synthetases). tRNAs cope with the degeneracy of the genetic code in two manners: having more than one tRNA (with a specific anti-codon) for a particular amino acid; and 'wobble' base-pairing, i.e. permitting non-standard base-pairing at the 3rd anti-codon position. The record is from Rfam by way of RNAcentral. Lineage: Eukaryota; Metazoa; Chordata; Mammalia; Carnivora; Felidae.